RNAcentral lists this ribosomal RNA (1141 nucleotides) under Pycnolejeunea sphaeroides. RNAcentral describes it as "eukaryotic LSU rRNA". The stretch from base 552 to 705 matches the Rfam family "5.8S ribosomal RNA". The record is from RNAcentral. Lineage: Eukaryota; Viridiplantae; Streptophyta; Jungermanniopsida; Porellales; Lejeuneaceae.
CCGCCGGUGUUGUUGUGAGAAGUUCAUUAAACCUUAUCAUUUAGAGGAAGGAGAAGUCGUAACAAGGUUUCCGUAGGUGAACCUGCGGAAGGAUCAUUGAACACACGAUCUUGGAAAAACCCUGCGAACCGUUGUUCGUCUCACGAGGGAUCGUGCCCGGAGGCACGGUCUUCGGUGCCCGAGUCGGGGAUUCAUGUGCGUCCGCCGUGAUCCUCCCGUUGGUGCGUGGCGGGAACAAGCGACUCGGGUUCUCACCGUUGGAAGACGCCCCGACACGCGCGGUUUCGUGUCCUGGGGGACUCGGAGUCGGGGGUGUGUCCCCUCCUCCGAAGGGAAGGGAACCCGGGGGGUGAGGGUGUUUCCUCUCUGCCUUGGCGGAACAGGAUCGGCUCCCCCUCGGGUCAGACCCCCCUUUCGGUGCCCUUAUUUUUCUCCUCGCAAAGGAACCGGCUGAAAACGAAUCUUGAUGGACUGGGGAGGACGAGGGAUCGUCACGGUGCAACUCCUGCCGCGCGAUCUCGAGUCCCGAAGUAAGGCGAAGAACACGAAAUGACUCUCAGCAACGGAUAUCUUGGCUCUUGCAACGAUGAAGAACGCAGCGAAAUGCGAUACCUAGUGUGAAUUGCAGAAUUCCGCGAAUCAUCGAGUUUUUGAACGCAAGUUGCGCCCGAGGCUCGUUCCGAGGGCAUGUCUGCCUGAGCGUCCGCUCCGACCCACCCACCAGUCUUCCUCUCCUCCGAAAGGGGACGGAAGAUCGCGGUGCGAGUGGAACUGGUCGUCCGGGAACCCGCCCGUCGCCCGUAGCGGCGACGGUGGAGGGAUUCGCGGUUGGCUGAAAUAGGAGGAGCCGUCCGUCAAACGCGCGCUUGGGUUUUUAAAAGGUGCGUCGCGAGAAGGUGCCGUCCUCUCCCCGUCGUUCUCGAUUGAAGAUGGGACGUGUUCGUAACAAAGCGUCGUGCCUCCCCUGCGGAGUCGGGACUUGACGGAUUGGUGGGAAUUUGCAUGGGAAACGCCCGAAGGCUUUUGUAUCCUCCCUCGGGGCGGUGCAAGUCUGGACGUGACGCUGUUGGACCUCAGAUCAGGCAAGACCACCCGCUGAGUUUAAGCAUAUCACUAAGCGGAGGAAAAGAAACUAACAAGG